This 3159-nucleotide unclassified non-coding RNA is filed under the name Hevea brasiliensis (rubber tree). The record is from RNAcentral. Lineage: Eukaryota; Viridiplantae; Streptophyta; Magnoliopsida; Malpighiales; Euphorbiaceae.
AAAUUCUCAAAUUUUCACAAUAUUUCACAAUAUUAAAAUAAUAAAUCAUAAUUAUUUAUGUUUUUUCCUGUGAGAUAGAGCUUGUUGUAAGAAUUCUAGAGUAGUCACUUGCAAGGUAAGAAUAAUUGGACUGAACUUAUUAGGCUUAUUGAGAUGAAGAUUGAGAAGAACAAAGCAAUGCUUGUAUUUUUAUAUUUUAUGUGCAGAUUUUACAUAUUCCUGUUUGCAUAGUCUUCUCUGGUUUGGUCACAUAUGAGCUGUCAUCAACAUUGGCUGUAAAAUUAAUGAUUUCAUGUUGUAUUCAAUUGGGAAACUUUGUACUUAUGAUGAUAUUAUGUUUUCUAGUAUCAUUAUCAUUGAUUAUGUGAUUGUCAAGUUCCAUAUUUAAGCAUCUUUGUUCUUAACUAUGCCUUGAUUUUAUUGUUAAACAUGCAGUUUUGGCUUGCAUAUAUUGAUUAUUAAUUUUAUUUUUGGGAUGGGUUUUAUGUUUUUAAUUUAUGUUUGAUUAUUUUCAUCCUUCUUUUACAUUGAUGUUUGAUUAUUUUUGGGCUAUGCUUUACAGUUGAGUAAUUUAGAUAGAGUUGCCAAAGAGAAACUCUAGUACAUAUUAAAAUUAUUUAUAGCUAUGUGUUAAUUCUCUAGUUAAUGGUAAAUUGGGCCAAAACUUAAUAGGAGGACUUAGAGCUCGUUUGAGAUUGCGGUGUAAUGACUAAAACCCUGGUUUCGGACGAAAAGCAAUUUUGCUAGCUGUUUGGUUAAUGAAUAAAACUUUGUUUCUGCCCUUUCAAAACUAAGUUACACAAAAGCAUCAAAAGUGUUGAUUUUUUCUGAACCUGUGUUUUGCAAGUGGCUGGACAACAAACUUGAUAUUUCGUGUUCACAAAAAUACCCUUGAGAACUUAAAGAUAUUACAAUCGUGCCACUAUAAAUACUCAUCUUUCUCACCUUAGAAUAACGAAGGGAGAGGAAAAAAUAAAAAGAGAAAGGAGAGAAAAUAAGAACGCAAUUAUCAAUUCCAUAGUACCCAGUCAUUGAUCACAAUCCUCCAUUCACCAAAGUGCAAAUUUUCUUUACCUUGCUUCCACUACUUUCCCUUUGCUUUUACUACUUCAAUUAGUUCCACCCACAUCAAGCCCUAUUGCAAUUUAAGGACUGAUUUGUGGGUUUUAUUAAAUAUUAAGGACUUAAUUGUAAUUUAACUUAUAAGUUUCCCUCUUUGCACCUACGGGUCAUUCACUUAAAACUAAAUCGAAUGAAAAACGAAGGGGCAAUUUCACAUUCUAGCUGCUGAUUUGAAGGAAGAAUCCUGUCUAUCCUAAUAACAAAAACUGCCUUUUGGCAAGGAAACCUCACUGCGCAGCUCUAUCUUGCACACAGGUAUGAUCCCUCGUUUUCUCUCCAUUCUUCUUACUUGAUUUCCCUUUCUUCGAUCUUCCUUUACAAUUCUAAUUGGAAAAAUUAGAAUUAUAAUGUAUUGAUUAAGUUCAAAUUACAAUUCUACUCGAAAAAUUAGAGCUUCAUUUGCAGCAAAUUCAUAUCCAAAACAAACUUAGGGUUUGGUAUUAGUAGAAUUUGAGGCAAUGGAACCAAAUUAUUACUUCACUAUUAUAGUGAAGAAACAUAGGGGUUGGUGGGUCUGAGAAUUACUGCUGAAUUUUAGAGAACGAAAACAAAUUAAUGCCCAAAUACAACGCAAAGCAACUAUUGGACCCUUUUAGGUAAAGCCCUUUCCUAAAGAUUUAUUUUUUGGCUGGUUAGAUGCUUAAACAUGCGCCCACUCGCUUAUACCUGAGUUUAGCAACAUAGCCAAAACAAAGAUUGAAGAAAAAGAGAAAAUAAAGCUAAAUACUUAAGGAUUAGUCAUAUUUAGGUGCAUUUACGUGUGUAUGUGUGCUGUGAUUUUGUGGUAUUAAUAAAUUGUUACAAUUCUAGUUAAAUUUAUUUGCAGGAAAAAAAAAUGUUGGAGUUUCGUUCAGGCAAAAUGUUUUUUGAGGGUAAAAAGGUUGUCCCUGAUGCACGAAAGGGACUUAUUCGCAUAACAAGGGGCGAAGAGGGAUUAGUCCAUUUUCAGUGGCUUGAUCGUAGUCGGAAUGUUGUUGAAGAUGUAUCCUAGUUAUUAUAUAUAUUUUUGUGUUCCUGUCAAGUGUCAAUAGAUUGUUCUGUAGUUAAAUGCAUUGGCUGAAAACAUAAUUGCAUUAUUUUUAGUUGUCUAAAGAAUCUUUGGGGGUUAAAUUGUAUUGGCUCUUUGUUUAAUCUCUAUACAAAUUGUAUCCUAGUUAUUUUAUAUAUUUUCCAUACAAUUAUGUUUAAUCUCUUUGUUUUCAUUGCUAAUAAUAAGCAUAAUAGAAAAAAAAGGAAAACCUCUCAUUAAUUGCUAUAAUUUUGACAUUGACUUGUGGUACUUCAUUGCUGGGAAAGGGGGUUAACGGUUAACCCUGUCAGCCUCUUUUUUUUUUUUUCUCUCUAAAGGUUGGGAAAGAGUGGAGGGGGACAAACAAAGUUUAUUUUUAUUUUAUUUCAUCAACAUUUAUUACUCUUUAGAUAAAUUAUAUAGUGUUAAAUAAUAAAAUAAACAAGAAUAAUUAUAAAUUAUAUUGUUAAAUAAUAAAAUAGACAAAUAAUUAUAAAUUAACAUUGUUUUUAUAACUUUGUACCAAGUUCACAUAAUUUUUACUCCUUUAAAUAUUUGUAAAUAUCAACUUUGUUUGUUUAACCUUGUAACAAAAACUCAUAAUUGUUACUUGUUUAAUUGUUUUUUCCUUUUUUUUUGUCCCUUUAGUUGUUACACUCUUAAAAAUUACCCUUAUAUCAGUUAAUCUCCUAUUUUUUAAUCUCGAAACAAAUGUAACAUAACUGAGCAACUAGCUUGUGGAGCUACCAUAGUGUUAGUUUUGCUAACCAAAGAAAGAGCGCAUUUGGAUCAUGGUAGAUAAGGGUGACUUUUCAACUUUUAUGUUUCUCAAUUGAUGCUGGAGCAUUUGAAGUCCUAUUUAGUUUUGGAUUUUAUUCGGUUUUCAAUUUUACUUAUUUUUCUAUUCAUUUAUGAAUUUUAUUUAGUUUUCUUUUCCUUUAUGUAGGAAUCUUGUCCAUAAAGUUUUUAUUAAUUAAGAUAAGUUUUCAGUUUUUGAAUAUAUAAAUAAGAUUGUUGGUAGACAUAUC